Molecule: ribosomal RNA, 145 nt
Filed under: Cornus obliqua
Lineage: Eukaryota; Viridiplantae; Streptophyta; Magnoliopsida; Cornales; Cornaceae
Description: partial 5.8S ribosomal RNA
Rfam family: 5.8S ribosomal RNA
About the family: 5.8S ribosomal RNA (5.8S rRNA) is a component of the large subunit of the eukaryotic ribosome. It is transcribed by RNA polymerase I as part of the 45S precursor that also contains 18S and 28S rRNA.
Source: RNAcentral
GACUCUCGACAACGGAUAUCUCGGCUCUCGCAUCGAUGAAGAACGUAGUGAAAUGCGAUACUUGGUGUGAAUUGCAGAAUCCCGUGAACCAUCGAGUCUUUGAACGCAAGUUGCGCCCGAAGCCGUCAGGCCGAGGGCACGUCUG